Molecule: long non-coding RNA, 961 nt
Organism: Canis lupus familiaris (dog)
Lineage: Eukaryota; Metazoa; Chordata; Mammalia; Carnivora; Canidae
Exons: 3
Source: RefSeq, a predicted model, not a curated record
UUUAUCUCUGAGUUCCAGGCUGUAGAUGAUACCAGUCAUUUUUACUUAUUAUAAAGCACCUUUUUAAUCUUGAAUCCACUUCUGAUUGAUUCUGUUACUUGUUUCCAGAGUCAUGAAGGGAGAGGAUCCAGGGUUCAGGAAGUGCAAGAAUGGAUGAGAUUUGCCAUAUUGCUUAGCAACCUGUCUCCAAACAUUUUUCAGAGUUCCGCCCAAGGACCAGGUACAGGGAGGAAGUCCGCUCUGAACCUGCAGAUAGCCUAUUGAUCUCGGCCGUUGUUCGACUAGUGUGGAUGCAUUCAUUCGUCAUUCAUUCAGUCAAUAUGUGUCCAGCACCUACUUGACUCUAGGCAUAAUUCUGGGCUACAGAGAGACAGCAGAGAGCAAAAUAAGGCCCCUGUUCUCAGACAGUUAACGUUCUGGGGGAAGACUUCUUUCAACCCAGUUGAAUAGUGACCCAGCAUUGCUAUUGGGAACAAACAAAAAGGUGCUUCAGUACUGCCCGUCAUGACAUCUUCCCUCAUCUGGUGCACUGCUGCUGUCUGUAGUCUCAUGGUGGUACCCCCUGAUUCACACCUCCAAGCUGUGGUCUCUGGGUGCUCCCAAUAUUUCCAGUUCUUAGAGCCCAAGAACAGUGCUGGGGCAACUAGAAAUGGGAGGAAGGGGCCUCCUCCUCUUCCUUCCCUAAUUUUGACAGGUCUCUCAAAGCCUCUUUUGAAGAGUUCCAUCAACUUCAGCUUCUCUCCUCUAUUGGUGAGCUCAAAACCAUUCCAAGGAACUAGGUGGACACUGGAAGCCCUUCUAUCUCUUUCCAUUCUUCAAUUGCUUCACCUCCCAGCUUCUUCCCCUCCCCAGACUUCCUCUCCAUGUUCUCUGUUACAAAAUUAAAGCUCCUUCCAUAUGUGCGCAUACAUGCUGGCUAACACUGACGUGGAUGUAGGAUCAGUAGUGGAAGUAGGGUGUC